This 497-nucleotide ribosomal RNA is filed under the name uncultured bacterium. RNAcentral's name for it is "partial 16S ribosomal RNA". It matches the Rfam family "Bacterial small subunit ribosomal RNA", at positions 28 to 507 of the family's 1533-position model. The record is from RNAcentral.
GAUGAACGCUGGCGGCGUGCCUAAUACAUGCAAGUCGAGCGAACGGACGAGAAGCUUGCUUUUCUGAUGUUAGCGGCGGACGGGUGAGUAACACGUGGAUAACCUACCUAUAAGACUGGGAUAACUUCGGGAAACCGGAGCUAAUAUCGGAUAAUAUUUUGAACCGCAUGGUUCAAAAGUGAAAGACGGUCUUGCUGUCACUUAUAGAUGGAUCCGCGCUGCAUUAGCUAGUUGGUAAGGUAACGGCUUACCAAGGCAACGAUGCAUAGCCGACCUGAGAGGGUGAUCGGCCACACUGGAACUGAGACACGGUCCAGACUCCUACGGGAGGCAGAAGUAGGGAAUCUUCCGCAAUGGGCGAAAGCCUGACGGAGCAAAGCCGCGUGAGUGAUGAAGGUCUUCGGAUCGUAAAACUCUGUUAUUAGGGAAGAACAUAUGUGUAAGUAACUGUGCACAUCUUGACGGUACCUAAUCAGAAAGCCACGGCUAACUACGUG